AAUUCUCAUUUUCAGCUCUUUACUCAGCUGAAAAAGAUUUGCAGACUGAAGCUUUGAGUGAAUUUCAAGAAUGGCAGCGGAGACUCAAAGCAUUUCUCUGUUACUAAACCCAUUGGCAUUUCAUAUUCAGAAAUUGGGUCUUGAACUCAAAUGCCCUCUUUGCUUAAACUUGCUGAAUAAACCUAUGUUGCUUCCAUGUGAUCAUAUUUUUUGCAACCUUUGUGUUCCAAGGUCUACCCAAGUUCAAUGUGAAUGCCCUGUAUGCAAACAUCAAUAUGUUAAU
Molecule: non-coding RNA, 283 nt
Organism: Nicotiana tabacum (common tobacco)
Lineage: Eukaryota; Viridiplantae; Streptophyta; Magnoliopsida; Solanales; Solanaceae
Source: RefSeq, a predicted model, not a curated record